RNAcentral lists this ribosomal RNA (253 nucleotides) under uncultured bacterium. RNAcentral's name for it is "partial 16S ribosomal RNA". It matches the Rfam family "Bacterial small subunit ribosomal RNA", at positions 524 to 776 of the family's 1533-position model. The record is from RNAcentral.
UACGGGGGGGGCAAGCGUUGUUCGGAAUUACUGGGCGUAAAGGGCUCGUAGGUGGCCAACUAAGUCAGACGUGAAAUCCCUCAGCUUAACUUGGGAACUGCGUCGGAUACUGGAUGGCUUGAAUUCGGGAGAGGGAUGCAGAAUUCCAGGUGUAGCGGUGAAAUGCGUAGAUAUCGAGAGGAACACCGGUGGCGAAGGCGGCCUUCUGGACAGUGACUGACGCUGAGACGCGAAAGCGUGGGGAGCAAACAGG